UUAAACCAACAAUCUCCAAAAUUCAUAGGUAUGAUUUUCCCCAGAAAUUCCCCUCACUGCAAACUGCAAUAUGAUUAUUCCAAGUAUUCCACAAACUGCAAAUUAAAUCAACAAUUAUUCAAGAAUCACAAUUUUUAGUAGGAGUAUCAAAAUUCUUGUUGGAGGUAAUUUCAGAACUUCCUUUCUUCAGUCCGUUGCUGGAGGCGGUCGCCGGCGACGAGGCUGGAUAUCUUCCGGCGAGGUGGCAGAUCCGGGAGCAGCGCGAGGCAACAUCUAUUUCUAAAUCCCUAGAUCCCCGAAUCCACUCCUUCCUCUCGAAUCCACAAAUCCAAAAUAGCAAAUCCACAAAUGCACCAACUCUCCUUGAAUCCACAAACCCCAAAACAUCAAAUCCACAAAUCUACAAAUUGGUGAAGGCGGCGAAGGAAGGCAGCGGCGGAGGGAGGCAGAGGCGGGUGAAGGAAGGCGAGGUGGUGGAGGAAGGCGGCGCAGGGUGCAAGAAAUGGAGGCUGUGGAGCGGCGCUAGGUGGAGGGAGGCGGAGGCGACGAGGUGGAGGAAGGCGACACUAGGGCAGAGGAAGUGGAGGCUGUGGAGCGGAGGUGGUGGAGCGGCGCUAGGUGGAGGGAGGCGGCGCUAGGGCGGAGGAAGUGGAGGUUGUGGAGGGAGGCGGUGGAGGGUG
Molecule: long non-coding RNA, 680 nt
Filed under: Salvia miltiorrhiza (redroot sage)
Lineage: Eukaryota; Viridiplantae; Streptophyta; Magnoliopsida; Lamiales; Lamiaceae
Description: long non-coding RNA (SMIL_LNC001206)
Source: RNAcentral